GACGAACGCUGGCGGCGUGCUUAACACAUGCAAGUCGAACGGAAAGGCCCUGCUUUUGUGGGGUGCUCGAGUGGCGAACGGGUGAGUAACACGUGAGUAACCUGCCCUUGACUUUGGGAUAACUUCAGGAAACUGGGGCUAAUACCGGAUAGGAGCUCCUGCUGCAUGGUGGGGGUUGGAAAGUUUCGGCGGUUGGGGAUGGACUCGCGGCUUAUCAGCUUGUUGGUGGGGUAGUGGCUUACCAAGGCUUUGACGGGUAGCCGGCCUGAGGGGGUGACCGGCCACAUUGGGACGGGGAUACGGCCCAGACUCCUACGGGAGGCAGCAGUGGGGAAUAUUGCACAAUGGGCGGAAGCCUGAUGCAGCAACGCCGCGUGCGGGAUGACGGCCUUCGGGUUGUAAACCGCUUUCGCCUGUGACGAAGCGUGAGUGACGGUAAUGGGUAAAGAAGCACCGGCUAACUACGUG
This 468-nucleotide ribosomal RNA is filed under the name uncultured bacterium. Its description in RNAcentral is "partial 16S ribosomal RNA". It matches the Rfam family "Bacterial small subunit ribosomal RNA", at positions 28 to 507 of the family's 1533-position model. The record is from RNAcentral.